Molecule: non-coding RNA, 1846 nt
Organism: Tachysurus fulvidraco (yellow catfish)
Lineage: Eukaryota; Metazoa; Chordata; Actinopteri; Siluriformes; Bagridae
Source: the annotation of a RefSeq genome assembly
UAUAUUACAGAGAUAAAAUAAAGACGAUUCAGAAUAAGGCAUGAAUAUAUAAGGAAGACAAUUAGACACAUAAGAGACAGGUGUACUGCGGCAGAAAGGAAUAGACAAGGGAAGCGCCGAGCAACAUCCACAGCCGAGUAGAAGCACCAAGCGGCAACCCCGGCAAGCCGCAACCAGAUCCUCUGCCAUGGCGCAAAAGAAAAUAAACAACAAAAAAGGGAAAACAUAUGGGCCUGCAACAUCCUCAGCAGAAAGGAAGUGAGGCGGCUUCCUCCAUGGGAAAAAAGGAAGUGAGGUGGCGUCCUCCACCAGAACAGAUGCGUGAUGUCCAACGAAAAAAAAAAAAAACCUUCUGUCAGAGAACAGGGGUGUCUUCAUAAAUAAAAUUAAACAAAGAUUCUGCCCUGCCAAAGGCAACACAGCACAAAUAAAUAAGAAAGACAGUUAGACACAUAAGGGACAGGUGUGCUGAGGUGGGAAGGAAUAGACAAGAAUGGGGCAGAUGCAUGAACACAAAAUGUAAACAAAAGGCACAUGGCAAAAGUCCAGGCUACAUCCUCAUGACUUUGUUAAGAACCUAUGGGUUCAGAUGACAAGGACAUGUUUUAUGCUAUUAUUAGUGUUUACUUCAAAGAAAACAAAAUGCUAUUAACACGUAUCAGUGGUGUGUUUUUAAAUGCUUGUCACUGGGAACUGGAGCUUAAGCUUAAACUGGAAGCUCUAAAGUAAAGUUGCGUUCUUAAGUUUGAUUCAAAGUAAAAGAUAAACAUAAUUAGGAAAUAACUUUUUUGCUCUUCAUUAAACUUCUUCUAUCAGAGAGAUUUCAGCACACAGGACUGAUAAAGCUCCAGUGUAUCAUAUCUGUAAAGUCAUGUGACUCGUCACACCAUCAGAAUAGACAAGAAUUCACUGUGAGCUUCACACCUCAUUACAGCUAAUGGACCAAUCAAAUCAGUCCACAGCUUCAAAUCAUCCAAUCAGGUGUGAGUCUGGACCUGGUUUUGUACUGAACACACAAGUUCAUUAGAUCACUUGGUGUGAACAGGAACGAUGAUCAGACUCUUUGUCGCUCUUUGUGCUCUUUUUUCUCUCUUCACAGCUGUGAAAACUUCUGACAUCAAGGAGAUUGAUGUGAUAACAGUAAAGCGUGGAGAAGAUGUCACUAUGGAGUGUAGCAUUAGCAGUGUCAAAAAGAAAGAAGUAGUUUGGUACAGACAGAUUUCAGGAAAAUUACCUCAGUAUAUUGCAAAACCAUACAAGGACGAUUCGGGCUACAAAUUUAGUGAUGGAUUUAAUGAUGCUCGUUUCAGUAUUAGUGUAAAUGACAAUAAAUUUGAUCUCAAUAUUAAAAAAACAAGAGAAGAUGAUAAAGGAGAAUAUUUCUGUGGAGAAAUGGAAGGAAGUGCAGUGACGUUCACAUCUGGAACACGUCUGCAAUUUGAAGAUAAAGAGACGACACACCGUCCAACACUUGGAACACCCAUGUGCAAUGAAAUGAGUGAGAGCUGUACUGCUAACAUGCGUCUGUUCUUCUGGCUCUCCAUUUCAAGAAUCGGAGUUCUCAGUGUUACAGUUAUUAUAAUUACAAUAUGGUACAAGGUUUUAAAGUCAGGAUCUCAAACUUGAUAAUUAUCUUGUUUAAUAAUAAUAUAUAAUAUAAUGAAUAUAAUAAUAUAUAAUUAAUAAUAAUUGUCUUUUAACUGUUGUCUGUGUCGCUCUAACUGUAUUUUCCAGUACAUGACAUUUUUUUUUUUUUUUAUUUUACUCCAGUGUGUAUGUGUGUGUGUUAGAUUGAGUGUGUGUGCAUGUGUGUGUGUGCGUCCGUGUGUGUGUGUGCUUGUGCGUG